GCUGGGCAUGGUGGCACAGGCCUGUAGUCCCAGCUAUUCAGGAAGCUGAGGCAGGAGGAUUGCUUAAGCUCAGGAGUUCAAGGCCAGCCUGGGCAGCAUAGCUAAUCAC
Molecule: small RNA, 109 nt
Filed under: Marmota monax (woodchuck)
Lineage: Eukaryota; Metazoa; Chordata; Mammalia; Rodentia; Sciuridae
Source: RNAcentral